GAGUUUGAUCAUGGCUCAGAUUGAACGCUGGCGGCAUGCUUUACACAUGCAAGUCGAACGGUAACAGGGAGCUUGCUCCGCUGACGAGUGGCGAACGGGUGAGUAAUGCGUCGGAACGUGCCGAGUAGUGGGGGAUAACGCAUCGAAAGGUGUGCUAAUACCGCAUACGAACUGAGGUUGAAAGUGGGGGACCUUCGGGCCUCACGCUAUUCGAGCGGCCGACGUCUGAUUAGCUAGUAGGUGAGGUAAAGGCUCACCUAGGCGACGAUCAGUAGCGGGUCUGAGAGGAUGAUCCGCCACACUGGGACUGAGACACGGCCCAGACUCCUACGGGAGGCAGCAGUGGGGAAUUUUGGACAAUGGGCGCAAGCCUGAUCCAGCCAUGCCGCGUGUCUGAAGAAGGCCUUCGGGUUGUAAAGGACUUUUGUCUGGGAGCAAAUACCCGGUGUUAAUAGCGCCGGGGGCUGAGAGUACCAGAAGAAUAAGCACCGGCUAACUACGUGCCAGCAGCCGCGGUAAUACGUAGGGUGCAAGCGUUAAUCGGAAUUACUGG
This 553-nucleotide ribosomal RNA is filed under the name uncultured bacterium. RNAcentral's name for it is "bacterial SSU rRNA". It matches the Rfam family "Bacterial small subunit ribosomal RNA", at positions 9 to 557 of the family's 1533-position model. The record is from RNAcentral.